RNAcentral lists this ribosomal RNA (180 nucleotides) under uncultured Glomeromycotina. RNAcentral's name for it is "partial small subunit ribosomal RNA". The record is from RNAcentral. Lineage: Eukaryota; Fungi; Glomeromycota.
GACCUGGCUGGGUGGUCCGCUUAACGGCGUGUACUGCUCGGCUGGGCCUUACCUCUUGGUGAGCCGGCGUGCCCUUUAUUGGUGUGCGUCGGGGAACCAGGACUUUUACCUUGAGAAAAUUAGAGUGUUCAAAGCAGGCCUAUGCCCGAAUACAUUAGCAUGGAAUAAUAGAAUAGGACU